This 211-nucleotide long non-coding RNA is filed under the name Nicotiana benthamiana. RNAcentral describes it as "long non-coding RNA (NBEN_LNC029592)". Lineage: Eukaryota; Viridiplantae; Streptophyta; Magnoliopsida; Solanales; Solanaceae. The record is from RNAcentral.
AAAGGGUGGCUAUGCUGCUGAAGAACAAUCAGAAGUUCUAUGUUGCUUCUCUUUGUGUUGCUAUAUUUUCUCGUCAAGGGCAGCAUCUGUUUUGCUCUUGUUUGUGACAGGAAUUCUAUUACUCUGAAGUUUUGAUUGAAAUGGGUGGCUAUGCUGCUGAAGAACAAUCAGUAGUUCUAUGUUGCUUCUCUUUGUGUUAGCUAUAUUUUCU